Molecule: long non-coding RNA, 807 nt
Filed under: Gouania willdenowi (blunt-snouted clingfish)
Lineage: Eukaryota; Metazoa; Chordata; Actinopteri; Blenniiformes; Gobiesocidae
Description: lncRNA (ENSGWIG00000003256.1)
Source: RNAcentral
UCCUGGAAGGUGACUUUUAUUCAUCUUUCCCCUUCAAUCAAAGACUAGCACAAACUGAAAGAGCUUCUGAUUUUAGCUCCCUGACACAGAGACGCAUCACAGCUACUGUGUGAGCAUCUGGAAAACAUCUGGGGAGACCCCAAGUGAGCUGAGGAUAAACACUUCUCGUUCUGAGAUCAGCCUCAUUCUCUCCUUUUCAUCGUAUCGCAUCAACAUCAGCGCCUUCAACGAUGUGAGCACAUCCCCCGCCGUGAGCCGGACCAUUCCUCAGCGUGACGGUACAGAAGGUGGUUUGCUGAACGUGACCGUCCAUCAUAAUAAUUCAUUUACCAUCCACUGGAGGGACGAUCUUAUCAAAAGCUACGUCUGCUUUUCUGCUGAGUGGAGGACGAAGACACACAAAGGGUUCCACGAGUCGUUUCAUGAGCAAGAUAAAAACUACAAGACCAUAUCUCCAUUACCAGAGCCGUUGGAGCCUUUCAAGAGAUACACCCUCACUCUGCACACGCGAACAAACAAUGAAACUUGUAACAUGGUUCAUAUCAACAACAGCGAGAGCACCUACGGGAGCAAACCAUUCUAUUUCAUUGAAGGGUCACCUGUCAGUGCUCCUACAAACGUCAGCGUCUCAAAUGUGACGCUGACCUCGGCGCUGCUGUUCUGGACUUCCAUCCCAGAGGAAGACACCAGAGGUUUCCUGCUUGGUUACAUAAUCUAUUAUAAGAAGUACGACCACAAAAAGACCAGCACUGAAAACAGUAGGUGGACAAACAAGCACCAAGACACAAUAGUAGUAGUUCAAGUACA